This 537-nucleotide ribosomal RNA is filed under the name Triticum aestivum (bread wheat). RNAcentral's name for it is "partial small subunit ribosomal RNA". Lineage: Eukaryota; Viridiplantae; Streptophyta; Magnoliopsida; Poales; Poaceae. The record is from RNAcentral.
AUGCUGCGCGCAUCCGUCCCCGCCGCGGCAACGCCUGCGCACGCGCCGGGGAGCGGAGCGGCGGGCAGCGUGCAGGGCCAGCUCGGCUACGGCGUCGCCAUCACCGUCGGCGUCCUCGUGCUCGUCUCCACCGUCAUGCUCGCCUCCUACAUCUGCUUCCGCGCCAAGGCCCGCGCCGCGGGGUCGCUUCAUCGACUGGUCGACGCCGACACCCACCAUCACCAGUCCGCCGCCGUCGUAGUGCUGGCGGGCCUCGACGGCCCCACCAUCGACGUGCUCUACCCCAAGUUCUUCCUGCGCGCUGGCUCGCGUGACGGCAAAUCGGGCGCGAGCGCGACGGUGGCAGACGGGCCGUGCGCCAUCUGCCUCGGGGAGUUCGAUGGCGCUGCGACGCUCCGGCGCGGGUCCCGGUGCGCGCACUGCUUCCACGCGGGGUGCGCCGAACGGUGGCUGCGCGUGAGCGCCACCUGCCCCGUGUGCCGCGACUCGCCCGUGCCGUCGCCGGCCGCCACAGCCCUCGCCGCGCACGCUCGGUGA